This 491-nucleotide ribosomal RNA is filed under the name uncultured bacterium. Its description in RNAcentral is "partial 16S ribosomal RNA". It matches the Rfam family "Bacterial small subunit ribosomal RNA", at positions 29 to 507 of the family's 1533-position model. The record is from RNAcentral.
AGUGAACGCUGGCGGUAGGCCUAACACAUGCAAGUCGAACGGCAGCACAGUAAGAGCUUGCUCUUACGGGUGGCGAGUGGCGGACGGGUGAGGAAUACAUCGGAAUCUACUUUUUCGUGGGGGAUAACGUAGGGAAACUUACGCUAAUACCGCAUACGACCUGCGGGUGAAAGCAGGGGAUCUUCGGACCUUGCGCGAUUGAAUGAGCCGAUGUCGGAUUAGCUAGUUGGCGGGGUAAAGGCCCACCAAGGCGACGAUCCGUAGCUGGUCUGAGAGGAUGACCCGCACCACGGGAACGGGGACGCGGCCAAACCCCUCAGGGGAGGCAGCGGGGGGAAAUAUUGGGAAGGGGGCGGAGGCCUAUUCCAGCCAACCCGCGGGGGUGAAAAAGCCCUUCGGGUUGUAAACCCCUUUUGUUGGAAAAGAAAAGCGGCAGGUUAAACCCCCGCUUUUUUGCCGUAACCAAAAAAAAAACCCCCGCCAACUUUGUG